Molecule: ribosomal RNA, 198 nt
Filed under: uncultured bacterium
Lineage: Bacteria
Description: partial 16S ribosomal RNA
Rfam family: Bacterial small subunit ribosomal RNA
Source: RNAcentral
ACGCUCGACACCUACGGGGGCAGCAGUCGGGAAUAUUGCGCAAUGGAGGAAACUCUGACGCAGUGACGCCGCGUAUAGGAAGAAGGUUUUCGGAUUGUAAACUAUUGUCGUUAGGGAAGAAAAAGGACAGUACCUAAGGAGGAAGCUCCGGCUAACUACGUGCUAGCAGCCGCGGUAAUCUGAGCGGGCUGGCAAGGC